Molecule: ribosomal RNA, 468 nt
Filed under: uncultured bacterium
Lineage: Bacteria
Description: partial 16S ribosomal RNA
Rfam family: Bacterial small subunit ribosomal RNA
Source: RNAcentral
GACGAACGCUGGCGGCGUGCUUAACACAUGCAAGUCGAACGGUGAUGCUCCAGCUUGCUGGAGUGGAUCAGUGGCGAACGGGUGAGUAACACGUGAGCAACCUGCCCCAGACUCUGGAAUAAGCGCUGGAAACGGCGUCUAAUACUGGAUACGAAACUGGCCCGCAUGGGCAUGGUUUGGAAAGUUUUUCGGUUUGGGAUGGUCUCGCGGCCUAUCAGCUUGUUGGUGAGGUAAUGGCUCACCAAGGCGACGACGGGUAGCCGGCCUGAGAGGGCGAGCGGCCACACUGGGACUGAGACACGGCCCAGACUCCUACGGGAGGCAGCAGUGGGGAAUAUUGCACAAUGGGCGAAAGCCUGAUGCAGCGACGCCGCGUGAGGGAUGACGGCCUUCGGGUUGUAAACCUCUUUCAGCAGGGAAGAAGCGAAAGUGACGGUACCUGCAGAAGAAGCACCGGCUAACUACGUG